This is a long non-coding RNA of Patella vulgata (common limpet), 2350 nucleotides long. RefSeq lists it as uncharacterized. The transcript has 3 exons. NCBI's taxonomy places the organism in Eukaryota, Metazoa, Mollusca, Gastropoda, Patellidae. The record is from RefSeq and is a predicted model, not a curated record.
GCAGUGAUGGUGAUUACUUAAGUUAGAUGGUACUAUAAAAGGGUGUGAGGAAUUUUGUUGUUGCCUCUGAAAACGAUAAAAGUUAUACGAUAAGAGGGAGUAACAAGAAGGGCCUUUGGUUAAUUGUGUUAGAGUUCACUUUCAAAAGAUAUGUGAUAUUUUUGGUAUUUAUAUAUUGCAAUGUCUGGUUAGUUGGUCCUGUCCGCACGUUUUUCUUAUCGGUAUUGUUUUGCGUGCAGUGUAGUUCUCCUACAAUUUAGCCCGAAGUUUCGCAGUAUAUACGGAUGGUGUUUAAAGAUUUUUUUUUAUAUUUUUAAGGAAGUAUAUUCAUUUAAUGUAAUACAUGCAACAGUAUAUUGUAAGCAGAUUAUUUUUAAAUUAGAUAAUAUACACGAUAUCUGAGUGGUAUUACACAUUUACAAGACCGUGGUGCUAAUUUCCAUUAUCAGAUCUGUACUUUCAGCGGAAGUAAAACCAAACUGUCUGAUAUAACCUCAGGUGAAAGUGGGAUUGAGACCAUAUUUGAUAAGUCAGUGAAACCAACAGAAGGAGAAGAAGAAUGUUGUUUCUAUGUAUGUUAUAUUAUCUGUACGUUGUAGAGGUUACGGGACGCGCUGACUGCCCAGAACAUGUAUUUAAGAGAAUACCUCUCAAUACCAGUAUAACAAGCACUCUGCAUACGUUGUACACAGAUUUAACAGUUAAGGAAUGUGGGCAAAAGUGUAUAGGGACGACCUCGUGUGCAUCAUUUUCCUAUCUUCCGAGACAAGCAUCGCAGUGUUAUUUAUUUCCUCAUCGUGUUCGGUUGGGAUUGGACCAAACAGUUCAACCUGGUCUGGUGAUAUACUGGCUUCUACGGGAAACGUGUCCAUCAGAUUAUACAUAUAAUGCAACGCAUAACAUUUGUUAUAAGACGUACUUUGAUUCAACAGACUUAAUGCCAUGGACAGGGGCAAUGAAUCGAUGUGAACAAGAUGGCGGAUAUUUGUAUAUGGCUAACACAAUGGAUAAAUUCAAUUUAAUCAAAAACCUUCCCGCUUCGUUUCGUAUGGAGGCAAAUAUUGGUUGUACCAGACAUAGAGAUGUAAAUAUAACUUGGAAAUAUUUGGAUGGAUCUGAUUUUGUAGGGGAGUGGUAUCCCGGAGAACCUAGCAGCAAUACGGAAGACUGUGUUGCGAUAAUUUAUGGUAAUCCUGUAGGAGCUUUAGAUAUUAAUUGCUUGGGAUUAAGAAAAUUUAUCUGCGAGAUCCCGAUCCGUUCUCCGUAAAUUACGUAAUAUGACUAUCACAGUCUGAUUAAUAAACAGAUCUAUAUUUGUGACAAAGUGAUCUAUACCUUUCUUCAAAUUGAACGAUCAUUUAGGUGCAUAGAACUUCAUGACCUCUGCUAGUUUUGAUAAUAUAUGAUAUUGACGUUUCACCUCUGUGUAAACUUCUGUUAAGGCACGGACUAAUUAAUUCAAUAUGUCCUUUACAUGCUACACAUGCUAUGUGUAUAACACUCGGCAUACCUUCACGAAUUCAAAGGAAAUACGCAGUGCAGUUACAGAUACCAUAGUCUGAUAUAUGAUUACUUUUUUCAUAUAUGAUGGGCACAGAGAGACUGAGAGGCCGCCGUAUGGACUCACUCGAGUUCAGCCACUGUCGUGGCAGAGGGGCAGAAUGGUGGAUUUAACAUAGUUAUAUGUUUUCCUGUCGUAGACUAGUUCUUAUAUAGUUUAAGUACCUGUAUUGCUGUUGUAAUUAUGUAGAUGUGUGAUAUUCUGUUCCCGUUGUAAAUAAUGCUGUAUUUACUAAACUGAUCUCUGUUAUCACUAAAAUAGUGUUACAGUAUCUGUUUUUGGUGCAUCAACCGGCGAUUUCCGUAGGAAAUCAAUACCCACAGUAUCUGAUUUUGGUGCAUCGACCGGCGAUUUUCGUAGGAAAUCAGUACCCACAGUAUCUGUUAUGAUGCAUCGACCGGCGGUUUCCAUAUGAAAUUAGUACCUGUGUUCCUGUGAUAACGAAGAAAGUCCCGCGUGGCAGACAAAGGAGUUUUCACCAUUAAACAUCCGAUGAGCUGGAGAAAAUACAAAACAAAAUGCAGGACUGAAACGUUUAUCUGUGCAACCGUGGGUGGCAGACGCAGUUUCAAUAGAAAAUAGUGUUUCAUAUGGACAUGAAGAAGGACCCGGCAAUCACCAACAACUGCAAAAGAGACAGAGAGACCGGCGUAUUGACUCGCCGGAGUUCAGCCGCUGCCUUGGCAGAGGGGCAGAAUGGUGGAUUUAACAUAGUUAUAUGUUUUCCUGUCGUAGACUAGUUCUUAUAUAGUUUACGUACCUGUAUUGCUGUUGCUAUUAUUUAGAUGU